Pelobates cultripes (western spadefoot toad) is the source of this 513-nucleotide non-coding RNA. The record is from the annotation of a GenBank genome assembly. NCBI's taxonomy places the organism in Eukaryota, Metazoa, Chordata, Amphibia, Anura, Pelobatidae.
GUUGCUGUGGACGGCUAUGGCGUCCAUGUGAUCAUGAGGUUCUCGCAAGGACCUUGCGAUCACGUGGCCCAGGAGGGCCGCAACGGGAACAGGGGGACUCCCUGGAAUGCCAGGUGAGUCCCCCCACCGCGAUCGCUGGCGUGGGAUCGGCGGUGACCGGGUAACUUAAUAGGAUGGCGGGGGCAUGCUAUGCCGACCCCCAGCGUUUAGAGCCGGGUCCUCAAGGACGGCACGCCCACCGUCCUUAAGGGGUUAAAAAACACCUAAUCAAGGCAAAAAAUAAUGGGUGUUUAGUUACAUUAUAUGAUCAUACAUUGCAUAAGCCUGCCACAACAUCACUGUACCCCUUUGGCAGGUCCUACUCUCACAGCCAAAUGUCUGCUAAAUGAGCUACUUACUUGGGGGGGAAAUUCCAUCUCGAGUUCUCUGCAGUACAAGGCUAAAUAUUGCCCUGAGAUGAGGCACCUAUGACAGGGAGGGGUGCAAAACCAAGGAGUUGGCUAGACUCCUAUA